RNAcentral lists this ribosomal RNA (274 nucleotides) under uncultured bacterium. RNAcentral's name for it is "partial 16S ribosomal RNA". It matches the Rfam family "Bacterial small subunit ribosomal RNA", at positions 523 to 796 of the family's 1533-position model. The record is from RNAcentral.
AUACGGAGGGUGCAAACGUUGUUCGGAAUUACUGGGCGUUAAGCGCGCGUAGGCGGUUUGUUAAGUCAGAUGUGAAAGUCCACAGCUCAACUGUGGAAGUGCAUUUGAAACUGGCAGACUUGAGUACUGGAGGGGGUGGUGGAAUUCCCGGUGUAGAGGUGAAAUUCGUAGAUAUCGGGAGGAAUACCGGUGGCGAAGGCGACCACCUGGCCAGAUACUGACGCUGAGGUGCGAAAGCGUGGGGAGCAAACAGGAUUAGAAACCCUAGUAGUCC